This 87-nucleotide ribosomal RNA is filed under the name uncultured bacterium. RNAcentral's name for it is "partial 16S ribosomal RNA". The record is from RNAcentral.
CACUUUUGUUCCGGAAAGAAACCUUUAGCACUAAUACUGUGAGGAGAUGACGGUACCGGAAGAAUAACGCACCGGCUAACUACGUGC